RNAcentral lists this ribosomal RNA (446 nucleotides) under uncultured bacterium. RNAcentral's name for it is "partial 16S ribosomal RNA". It matches the Rfam family "Bacterial small subunit ribosomal RNA", at positions 338 to 795 of the family's 1533-position model. The record is from RNAcentral.
CCUACGGGCGGCAGCAGUCGAGAAUCAUUCACAAUGGGGGAAACCCUGAUGGUGCGACGCCGCGUGGGGGAAUGAAGGUCUUCGGAUUGUAAACCCCUGUCAUGUGGGAGCAAAUUAAAAAGAUAGUACCACAAGAGGAAGAGACGGCUAACUCUGUGCCAGCAGCCGCGGUAAUACAGAGGUAUCAAGCGUUGUUCGGAAUCACUGGGCGUAAAGCGUGCGUAGGCUGUUUCGUAAGUCGUGUGUGAAAGGCGCGGGCUCAACCCGCGGACGGCACAUGAUACUGCGAGACUAGAGUAAGGGAGGGGGAACCGGAAUUCUCGGUGUAGCAGUGAAAUGCGUAGAUAUCGAGAGGAACACUCGUGGCGAAGGCGGGUUCCUGGACAUUAACUGACGCUGAGGCACGAAGGCCAGGGGAGCGAAAGGGAUUAGAUACCCCAGUAGUC